GACGAACGCUGGCGGCGUGCUUAACACAUGCAAGUCGAACGGUAAGGCCCUUCGGGGUACACGAGUGGCGAACGGGUGAGUAACACGUGGGUGAUCUGCCCUGCACUUCGGGAUAAGCCUGGGAAACUGGGUCUAAUACCGGAUAGGACCCUGGGAUGCAUGUCCUGGGGUGGAAAGCUUUUGCGGUGUGGGAUGGGCCCGAGGCCUAUCAGCUUGUUGGUGGGGUGAUGGCAUACCAAGGCGACGACGGGUAGCCGGCCUGAGAGGGUGACCGGCCACAGUGGGACGGAGAUACGGCCCAGACUCCUACGGGAGGCAGCAGUGGGGAAUAUUGCACAAUGGGCGCAAGCCUGAUGCAGCGACGCCGCGUGAGGGAUGACGGCCUUCGGGUUGUAAACCUCUUUCAGCACCGACGAAGCGCAAGUGACGGUAGGUGCAGAAGAAGGACCGGCCAACUACGUGCCAGCCGCCGCGGUAA
This 478-nucleotide ribosomal RNA is filed under the name uncultured bacterium. Its description in RNAcentral is "partial 16S ribosomal RNA". It matches the Rfam family "Bacterial small subunit ribosomal RNA", at positions 28 to 523 of the family's 1533-position model. The record is from RNAcentral.